This 73-nucleotide transfer RNA is filed under the name Pteropus alecto (black flying fox). It matches the Rfam family "tRNA". From Rfam's summary of the family: Transfer RNA (tRNA) molecules are approximately 80 nucleotides in length. Their secondary structure includes four short double-helical elements and three loops (D, anti-codon, and T loops). Lineage: Eukaryota; Metazoa; Chordata; Mammalia; Chiroptera; Pteropodidae. The record is from Rfam by way of RNAcentral.
GACCAUGUGGCCUAAUGGAUAAAGCAUCUGAUUCCACACCAGAAGAUUGAAGAUUCAUGUCCUUGCAUGGUCA